AGAGUGAACGCUGGCGAUAGGCCUAACGCAUGCAAGUCGAACGGCAGCACAGUAGGAGCUUGCUCUUACGGGUGGCGAGUGGCGGACGGGGUGAGGAAUACAUCGGAAUCUACCUUUUGGUGGGGGGAUAACGUAGGGAAACUUACGCUAAUACCGCAUACGCCCUUCGGGGGAAAGGCCGGGGACCAGCAAUGGCCUGGCGCUGAUAGAUGAGCCGAUGUCGGAUUAGCUAGUUGGUGAGGUAAUGGCUCACCAAGGCGACGAUCCGUAGCUGGUCUGAGAGGAUGAUCAGCCACACUGGAACUGAGACACGGUCCAGACUCCUACGGGGAGGCAGCAGUGGGGGAAUAGUUGGACAAGUGGGGCGCAAGCCUG
RNAcentral lists this ribosomal RNA (375 nucleotides) under uncultured soil bacterium. RNAcentral's name for it is "bacterial SSU rRNA". It matches the Rfam family "Bacterial small subunit ribosomal RNA", at positions 26 to 385 of the family's 1533-position model. The record is from RNAcentral.